This is a long non-coding RNA of Cucurbita pepo subsp. pepo (vegetable marrow), 1084 nucleotides long. RefSeq lists it as uncharacterized. The record is from RefSeq and is a predicted model, not a curated record. NCBI's taxonomy places the organism in Eukaryota, Viridiplantae, Streptophyta, Magnoliopsida, Cucurbitales, Cucurbitaceae.
CUUGGAUGAGCUCUGCGAACAGUUCUGGCCGAUCGUCGCAGCUCACUGAUACCUUUAUUGCAAUAUUGUUCUUGUUGUUGUCUUCAACCAUGGUCUUUCACUUGAUCGAUUGCACUUCCCAACAGAGCUGCCUUGUCCAUCUGCCAUAGGAAAUAAGAAGAUGAGUCUGAACAUGUGCUGCAGAGUUUUCUCUUUGAGGUACAAAAAUAUGUUUCUUAAGAAGAUGAACUACUAUGCAACUUUAUCAGUCAACUUUUGUUAUAGCUAGAAGUUGAUUACUACAAUAAUCACAAAGGUAUGGACAAAGGUAUCCAUAUGAAACUCACUCCGAACAGAUAUUGUCUUUUUUAGAUUUUUUCUUCCAGACUUUUCCUCAAAAAUUUUAAAAUACGUUUUCUAGGGAGAGAUUUUCAUACCCUUAGAAAGAAUGUUUCGUUCUCCUCUCCAAUCGAGGUGGAAUCUCAUAGAAAUAAUCAUUUCUUGAACAUGUUUUUUAUCCCUAACUUACCACAGAAAACUUAAACUGAGUUGGUCAUCCAGUUGGAAAGAGAAAGGGCUAGAGAGGCAAGAGUACCUUAUCAGACUUGGGAAUGAGUUUUCUAAGAGUCGCCAGUUGAGCAUUGAUUCUGUCCCUACGUCUCUUUUCUGCUUGGCUAUGGCUCUUGGAAGCAGAAACUGCUCUAACGUCAGCAACCAUUCCUUCUGUUGAAGUUGAAAAUGAAGGAAACCCAUCAAACUGAACCUCAGUUGAGCUUGAAAGCUGAGGAUUGAUCAUAAAUGGAAGAAGCAGAGAAGGUUCACGGCUUGAAUUGCCAUUGCAAUGAGCCCAAUUUAUCCCCUCAGGCUUAGUAGAAGAAAAAUCCCAGUUCUUCUCCAUAACUGAUGAAAAGGAGAGGCAGGGCCAAUGUUUCUGAAGUCCGACUCAAAGUUUGGUUUUUAUGGUUGCAUCUGGAGAGCUACUGUUGAUUGCACUAGUAAUAAUGUGUGUGUGUGUGAUCUUCAAAUCUUGAUGGUGAUUGGUGUGAUGCCCAAUAGCCUUUAAUUUUUCAAAAUGAAAAUCAUAUAAGGCUAUAUUUGCCUGUCA